This 433-nucleotide ribosomal RNA is filed under the name uncultured bacterium. RNAcentral describes it as "partial 16S ribosomal RNA". It matches the Rfam family "Bacterial small subunit ribosomal RNA", at positions 29 to 507 of the family's 1533-position model. The record is from RNAcentral.
AACGAACGCUGGCGGCAUGCCUAACACAUGCAAGUCGAACGAGACCUUCGGGUCUAGUGGCGCACGGGUGCGUAACGCGUGGGAACCUGCCCUUAGGUUCGGAAUAACUCCCCGAAAGGGGUGCUAAUACCGGAUAAUGUCUUCGGACCAAAGAUUUAUCGCCUUUGGAUGGGCCCGCGUUGGAUUAGCUAGUUGGUAGGGUAAAAGCCUACCAAGGCGACGAUCCAUAGCUGGUCUCAGAGGAUGAUCAGCCACACUGGGACUGAGACACGGCCCAGACUCCUACGGGAGGCAGCAGUGGGGAAUAUUGGACAAUGGGCGAAAGCCUGAUCCAGCAAUGCCGCGUGAGUGAUGAAGGCCUUAGGGUUGUAAAGCUCUUUUACCCGGGAUGAUAAUGACAGUACCGGGAGAAUAAGCGCCGGCUAACUCCGUG